Rosa rugosa (rugosa rose) is the source of this 775-nucleotide long non-coding RNA. RefSeq lists it as uncharacterized. The record is from RefSeq and is a predicted model, not a curated record. Lineage: Eukaryota; Viridiplantae; Streptophyta; Magnoliopsida; Rosales; Rosaceae. The transcript has 5 exons.
UACAGAAAUGGGUUUCGUAGACACCGGCCCAAACUAAACAAUGACGCAUUUUUUAACCAACGUCCUUGUAACCCAAUAAGGACGCUUAAAAUUUUGAACAGCACGGCCCUUAGCUAUAAUGAUAAAUGUUUAGAAUCCUUCUCUCCUUUCGAGACGUGAACAAAAUAAACAAAGAAAACUGAAGAGCCCCUUCUGCUCUCCACUUCGUCUUCUCCGGUUCUCUCUCUCGAUCGAGUGAGAGCUGUAUUCAUGAAAUCACCGCCGAUUCCUAGAUCAGCGACCAUUCAACAUCGAAUCCCUUGUCAUCUCCGUGUAUGCAUAAAACCUUCUCUUCUGCACACACAUGCUGCCAAAUCCCCUGUUUGUUUCAGCUAGAGCAAAUGGAGCAGCAACUUGAAAAAAUUCUUGAUUCUGUACAGGUUGAUUCAAAGAAGUUUCGAAUGCUGGCAAAUUGGCAGCGGGAUUUCACCAUGGAAAACAUAUUGAUGCAGCUGAAGAAGGAAAUGACAGCCUCACACAUACUUAAAAUACCAGCUGCUGAAACUUGUUAGAUAUUCUACGUACUAAUAUUAGGCUUCAGACUCAGAACACAUGCUCAACUUAAGUUGCUAGUAGCUGCUGGCAUGUUUAAAUGUUAAAGUUUUUAACAGGUUGAGGACUAUCAAAAGAAAGAUCAAAAGGCCAAUAAAGUACAUUAACUACCGGGAUUAUACACGGUAAUUACUUUUGCUUAUGUCCUAAGUUUGGGAUCAUAGAGAUUACAUUUCGAAAUAUG